Molecule: microRNA precursor, 105 nt
Filed under: Canis lupus familiaris (dog)
Lineage: Eukaryota; Metazoa; Chordata; Mammalia; Carnivora; Canidae
Also listed under: 1 other name
Description: mir-8834 microRNA precursor family
Rfam family: mir-8834 microRNA precursor family
Source: Rfam by way of RNAcentral
AGGAGGAACAGCCCCAGUGGCGGGGCCAGCUCUGGAGCCCUGGAGUCAGCCCACGCAGUAGCUCCAGAGCUCUCGGUCUGCAGGGCCUGGAGGCUCUGGGGCGGG